This 329-nucleotide unclassified non-coding RNA is filed under the name soil metagenome. Its description in RNAcentral is "partial contains 5.8S ribosomal RNA, internal transcribed spacer 2, and large subunit ribosomal RNA". The stretch from base 1 to 120 matches the Rfam family "5.8S ribosomal RNA", at positions 35 to 154 of the family's 154-position model. The record is from RNAcentral.
GAUGAAGAACGCAGCGAAAUGCGAUAAGUAAUGUGAAUUGCAGAAUUCAGUGAAUCAUCGAAUCUUUGAACGCACAUUGCGCCCCUUGGUAUUCCGAGGGGCAUACCUGUUCGAGCGUCAUUAUAACCCCUCAAGCUCAGCUUGGUGUUGGGGCCUGCUGCACUGGCAGCCCUUAAAAUCAGUGGCGGCGCCAUCUGGCUCUAAGCGUAGUAAUUCUUCUCGCUAUGGAGUCCUGGUGGAUGCUUGCCAUCAACCCCCAAUUUUUCUAUGGUUGACCUCGGAUCAGGUAGGGAUACCCGCUGAACUUAAGCAUAUCAAUAAGCGGAGGA